UGAAAUGAAAAAGCGUUGUACGCCCGGGUCAAGGCUACUUCUGACGCUUCCUUCUUGCGGUAGUUUUCUUGACCACAUCAAGGCCAGUGAACAACAUAAAACCGCACAAAUGCAGACUUCUUGGUUAAACGUGGCUUUGUUUUCAUCUUUGCAUGUUGUGCUGUUUUUGUGGGCUUUCCAAGAUGUCGUGGAAGCAGCUAGCGGGAGAGGAUUUGGGGAUAACAUCAACUGGAGGACGUUGGAAGAUGGCAAAAAUGAGGCAGAGGCCAGUGGGCUGCCUAUCAUGGUAAUCAUCCACAAGACCUGGUGUGGAGCUUGCAAAGCGCUGAAACCCAAAUUUGCACAGUCUAAGGAAAUCUUGGAGCUUGCCCACAACUUUGUGAUGGUCAACCUGGAGGACGAAGAGGAGCCAAAGGACGAGGCCUUCAGUCCCGAUGGCGGCUACAUUCCUCGCAUCCUUUUCCUCGAUUCUAGUGGCCAAGUUCACCCUGAAAUCACCAACAAAAUGGGAAACCCCAACUACAAAUACUUUUACAGCAGCGCAGAGCAAGAUGCCGUCUGAUGGUUAUUGCGCUGCAGUCGGCACCAGUAAGGGCCUUAAUGUGGGUGGAAGACCGCCCUGUGUCUUGAUGGGCAACCAAUUGGAUCCUCCGGCUCAGCGCAGUGGUGUCUGGGAUGAAGGAGGCGCAGGAGAAGCUGACAGGCGACACCUUCAAUCGCAGCCACACUGGAGACGAGCUGUGAGGAGGUGGCGAGCGUCAAGCUGCAAGGGCUACACCUCCUACAUCACCAAACCACACCCCUUUGGAAAGGUCAUUCAUUCAACUAUCCAACCAUGAACGCUGUUUUUCUUGUUAGGAUCUUAUUGAUGAUAAUAAUAAUAAUAAUGCUCUUUUUUUACAUUUUGGAUAUUUGUAAUAUGCAGAACUAUGAUUGUCUGUUGCGGAUAGAAUGAAACCACAGGAGACUUUAAAGUGCCAAAUGCUUGGCCUCUUUGAUGCACAAUGAUGAUUAUUGUUAUUAGAGCACUUUCACGUAGUACUGUAGACUCAUGUGCUCAUUUCCACAAAAUACAAACUCUUAAUGUUAUGAGCCAAAAGCCACGGCCACUUCUACAAGCUAAUAAAGCUGUUGAUGCUUCCAAAGAUGAUUCUGACGUCUAGAUUUUCAUUUUUGCCAAAAUGUGAAUUUAAUGUGGUACAUUUUUGUUGUUACUUCUGCACAGGGUGAAAAACAUUGUUUUAUACACGAUAUACACGUGCAAAUUAAACAAAUUGCUCUAGUGAACACUUUGGGCUAAAUAUUACACUGCAGAUUGGAGUGGAGUUGACCAAAUUUUAUUGUCCAAAAACAUUGGCAAUUCCCUUAUUCUCUUAUUGUUUUCCAACACACUAAAUAGUUUACAGGCACACCAUAAAUCAUUAAUCUUGAUAGCCAGGACAAAUGUUGCCUUCAAGUGCAUCUUUUAGCUGGAAAUGACACAAGAACGUUGCUGUAAAAUGUUCCUAAUUAAAACUAAAUUUACAUUUGGAUACAUCUGGAUUGGAUGUCAGAGCUCAUUGAGUCAUAUACAGUAUAUACAGUUGUCCUAUGCAAUGUCACGGUUUGAUUAUCGCUCCCUCACUAUAACGCAGUAAUUCAGAUACAAAAAUGAUCACUGUUUUAUGGUAGACUGUCUAUUAUUAGUCCAAACCUAUCGAAAUACAAGUGAUAUGUAGUAUUCUGGUCACUAGGCGGCAGACACAAGACAUUGAGACCUGACAUUACAUUACCUUAACACUGCAUGAAGACAUGAUGGAGUUUAAAAAAAAAAAAGUUCUCCUCCCAUUCUGUGUGGAAGUGGUAAGUUUUUUGGCUUCUUAUGUUCAGAAGAAGUAAAUUCAAGGCUAACUGGUUAGCUCACGGCCGUCUCGAGUCCCUGCAGCAUAACAGUUGAGCAAUGUGUUGUAAACAAAGGAUAAUAGGAGUGUGAAGGUGACUAUAGGGGUGUUAUUUCAUGUCUACAGGGCUCUAACAAUGUUAAAAACCAUAUUUAGAAAGAGCAUAGAAAACUUGUUUGUCUAACUACGAAAAUAAAACAUUGAAUACUAUAUCGCGGGAAUUAAUUUAUCACGGUCAGAUCUGGAAUCAAUCGCGAUAAACAAGGGAUGACUUUCUUUCAAGGAAAAAAACUGCCUGCAUGUCAGCUUUGUGUUCUAAGUGACAAAGCGUAUUAUUAUCAGUAGUAGUAAUAGCAGUAGUGGUAGUUUUCUUGUUUAAUUGUAUGUUUUUUUUUGUUUUGUUUUUUAGAAUGUGCCGCAGGCCACAAAUGGCCCUCAAGACAAAUGCUGAACACCAAUGUUAAAGUUUAGUUAGCUUUUUCUUUAGUUUCUUUUGUAAUGCCACCACAGAGAGGUACCACUGAUGGCAAAGAGGGGAAAUGUGAUGGUAAUAGUAGAACAGGAAAGGAACGAUGGAACAAUCCAACUGAAGCAGUUGUUCUCACUUAUUUUCUGUCAUGCCUGUCCUAGGGGAUGUAAAUGUUUUCACUCUACCCCGAUUUGAAAUACUAUUGAGAAACUGAUAUCUAUUUAUUUAUCUGUACUGUACAGACUGAACUCGAAACUGAAACACCAGGAAAAUGCAACAAAAUGGAGAGUAUGCAAGAGUCAAAUUGCAUGUUGAGUACGAAAAAUUUGUACAUGUUGGCAGCUCUCCAGCAAUAGUGAAAGUACUCCCUGCCUCUCAUGACCCCCCCUGAUAGUUAUCGCAUCCUCCCCCAGAUUAUGCAGAUAUGUCCAUAGAGAUUGCUAUUCACGGGUAUCCACGGGCCAUUUUUGUUUUUUUAUUGGCACUCGUCAUAUUGUAUGAAUUGUAUGACUAAAAUGGAUAAAUUAUGAUUAAGAGCUACACAGUAUAUAUAAUUAGCUUUGUGGUGUGCAAGACAAAGCUAAAAUGUAGCUAUUUUGUUGAGAUAAAGGAAUAGUUCGGAUUUUUUUGACAUGAAGUUGUAAUGACAUCAUCAGCAGUGUACUACAGCAACAGUGGCUUACCCCCCAAUGGGUCCCGUGAGUCCAGUUCUGGUCGGAGAUCCGUGACGAGGAAUGUAAUUCCACUUAGUUGCUGGGGCCAUUUAAGUAAAGAGUUUGGCUUCUCAAAACAAUAUGCAUUCAAAAGAGUAACACAUUUGCAUCACAAAAAUGCCUCCUCAAAAAAAUUAGACCUCACAAAUUGCUCAGCGUCAUAUUUGUCUCCCGCCGUAUGCUUGGGCACUGUCGCCUGUGCAUUCAGGUGUAUGUGAUGAAGACGCUCGCGGUAAUGCCACUAUUCUUCCGCGGCCAUCUUGUUUACAUAUGUGUUCCACAGCGAGACAAGACGCAAGCAUCUUCAUCACCUACACAUGAAUGCACAGGCGACAGUGCGCAGGAAUACGACGGGAGAAAAAUCUAAUGCCGAGCAUUUUGUGAGGUCUGAUGCCAAACCCUUUACUUAAAUGGCCCCAGCAAGAAAGAGAUCUCCGACUAGAACUGGACUCCCGGGACCAAUUGGGGGUGUAAGUCACUGUUGAUGUUGUACACUGCUGAUGGGGAUGUCUUACAACUCAUGUAAAAAAAUCCGAGCUAUCCCUUUAAGUGUAUAAAUUGGCCUACCUGGAUUGCUUACAGCAUCUUGAGUGCACAAAAUGUAUGAAUAAUAUGUCUUGUGUCAAUUUAACUUAAAAGCCAUAAUAUGGGAAAAUAUGUCCUGAGAAUGAAUCAGUUUGGUGUUAAGUGUACAUGCAUGGGAGACUUUGGAUGGAGCUUAUCACAUUCCAGACAUUUCCCUGUAUUACAGCAGAUUAAUUAUGCCUACAGUAAAUAGUGAGGUGAAGACAAAGACAACUAAGGACUACAAAGUCCAUCUGUGUGAAGAAAUUUCAAUCUCUUUUGUUAUUUGUGCUGCAAGUCUCCAGACCAGGAAAGACACGGCACCACGGACUUCAACCAUUGCUCCAAAAAUGACAGCCCACAAAUCUUACACAUGAAAAAACAAUAAAAAGUUGUGUGAUCUUGGCAUUUCAAAUGAUACAGCUAGCAAGUGUUUUUAAAAAUGCAGUUAAAGAUUCGGUACCAUGCAGGAGGAGGGGUCCGUUCACGUGUCACAGACCUUUAACAGUCUCUGCCAGCAACAAGACUUGGCCCCGCCCUCACUAUCACGACUUGGGCUUCCUCCAGGAUUAAAAAAAAAAAAAAAAGUUGCACUAGGAUAAAAAGAGAUGUGUGUUUGGGGGGUGGGAACCUAGAACCUUCCAUGCUUGGCAUCUCCGAUGGCGCCCCACACGUCAAAGACAAACUCAUCUGGGAAGGCAAAGUCGCCGAGAGUCUCGUCCAGUGCCAUGGCAAACUCGUCCGGGUUCUUCUUGUCACGGCCCACCUCCACCAUGGUGGCAGCUAAACAAAAACAAUCAAUAUACAGGAUCUUUGAUCAGCUACUGACAAACAUCACAGAUCUUGGACCAGAUAUUUAUAAACAGCAGGGAGCUCCUGUCAUAUGGAAGACCUUUGACCAGCUACUGACCAACAGCAGAGCGCCCCUGUCAUGAUCUUGGACCAGAUACUUAAAAACAGCAGGGUGCUCCUGCCAUCUAGAGGAUCUUUGAUCAGCUACUGACAAACAGCACAGUUCUCCUGUCAUGUAGAGGAACUUGGACUGGGUACAUACGGUAAACAGCAAGGAGUUCCUGUUGUGUAGAGCAGUGGUUCCAAAACUUGCCAGUCGCAUACCCCAUCAGACAUUUGACUUGAAGCCAUGUGCCUCCUACAUCUGCACACUUAAUAUAUAAACCUUUUUUUAAUCUUCAAUAACCUAAAAUAUUGAACAUGAUUAAUUAAUUUUAUAGUAAAUAAGUCAUUCUGGUUAAAAAAUGUGUAUUUUGCAUGGUCAAAGUUUGAUAAAAGUUUUUACAUGAGCACUGAUAAAUUGAUAAGUAUUCGUCCUACAUUUCUUUUAUUUCAGAUGUUGGGAUCCUUCGGUUUGAAGGGUUGACCUUUGAAGCUUUACUUUUGUCUACUCAUAAUGGCCAUAAUUUAAGUCUGCAUGAUAGUUUGAUACCAAAUUGAAAGGGAAAGUUUAACAAACAUGAUAAAGCAUACAUACAUUGGCAGGUUUUCAUUGUGCAGGGAUU
This is an RNA transcript of Dunckerocampus dactyliophorus (ringed pipefish), 5143 nucleotides long. It is a transcript of the gene named thioredoxin domain containing 12 (endoplasmic reticulum), with no coding region annotated. The record is from RefSeq and is a predicted model, not a curated record. Lineage: Eukaryota; Metazoa; Chordata; Actinopteri; Syngnathiformes; Syngnathidae. The transcript has 8 exons.